GUCCGCGUGGCGCAAUGGUAGCGCGUUGGACUUCUAAACCACUGUAUCACCGAAAAAUCUCGUCAUUUGCCAUGACUCGGGAUGCUCGUCUGCGGUUAGGAGUCUAUCCAAAGGUUGUGGGUUCGAGCCCCACCGUGGAUG
Microdochium trichocladiopsis is the source of this 141-nucleotide non-coding RNA. NCBI's taxonomy places the organism in Eukaryota, Fungi, Ascomycota, Sordariomycetes, Xylariales, Microdochiaceae. The record is from the annotation of a RefSeq genome assembly.